UACUGCUGCAUGUCUGAGUGUAUUGAGUUCUUGCUCGGGAGCGCAAAGUGCUACAGUACACACUAGCUGCUAACGAGACCGAGCGUGAGUGUUUUUCUGGCUUCGAACCCCCCCCCCCUACGUUGCGCAUGGGCCUCCUUUUAUAUGCUCAAGGGGUCACCGACAGGUGGCAACGCAGGCAAGGGUAAAAAUGGAAAAAUGUGUUGCGGUUGGUACAACUACCUGUACAGUGUAUCAUACCUAACCCUGACGGCAGGGGACAAAGGCAUUAAAUGCCCGUCUGCGUCGCCCAAACAGUGCAAAAAGGGACCGUCAGGGGCGCCAUCGCUUGCCACGAUGGCAAUCUUGUCAGCGCCGCAUGCCACCACGCACCGCUGGCUGCACAACCAAUUGCCACGCGCGCCUAGAAAGGUCCCAGGGCGACACGUUGGUGGAUGCGCUGGAGCGCGGGUACAGAGUGGUAGCUUGCCGCGGCAAGCGCCUUGCCGCGGUCGUUGUCUUGUCGCGUCCGGAAGCUUGUCGCUCACCGGGCCUUGCCGGGACGCGUGGCGCGUCGCGGCAAGUUCCUUGAGAUGCCUCGGUUGGCCUUCCCGGCAAGCUCCUCUUGCCGGGGCCUUGUCUCCUUGGCUUGAAUACUUUGUUCUUGAAUGGCUCCAAAGGAACCACGGAGGACCUUGGCGGUCACCCGGCAAGCCUUGCCGCGGGGUGCUGCGACUGCCCGUGCACAAGUUCGGGAUACUAGGGUACCCCUACUCUAGUACACCGACAGGAGCCCCCGGGCCUGGGCUACACACAGUGCCGAGCGCUGUUGGGCCAGGCCCAAAAUAGGGCACGGGCACGCGUGGCCUGGGUUACGCCGUAUCUUACUCCGUAUCCACCGCGCCCUCCUCGAACGGCAUGCGUCGAAUGCGGCGUCGUGGGAGAGAUCGUGGGUGGUUUCUUUAUUCGGAAAGACGGAACAUUCGCCCCUCCCUCUUUAUAAGAAGGGGAAACAGGGGCAGUUCGCCCAUCUCGCCAGUUGCUCAUCCAAUCUCAGAAAUCCUCCGCCGCUCCCCCCUUCUUCUCAAAGCCGAAAGAGAGCAGCGCUCCGCCCCCCAUCGCCACCAGCACCACCAACGCCGUCGAUCUCCUCCACCACCUCCACCAUGGCCCCGAAAGCCGGCAAGGGGAAGGGCAUGAAGUCGACCGAGGUGCAGCGGCUUGCGGCGCUGCGAAAGGAGCGGACAACCUUCCCCUCAAGCUCGCCGCGAAGGAGCUGAGGGAGUAUUACUACCUCUUUUGGUCGACGGAGACGCGAGCGCAUCCGCGCACGAAGGUACUCUCCGCCGCCGCUUCGAAACGGGCUCCGAAUGGAUAUCCCUUCUUCGCGUUGUUCUUCUACUGCGGGCUCUGCCCGCCUUUCUCUGAGUUUUUCUGCGACAUUAUGAACACCUACGGGUUCCACCUCCUUGACUUCACCCCCAAUGCCGUUCUGACCAUGGCAGUUUUCGCACAUCUCUGCGAAAACUUUGUCGGAGUCCAUCCAAAUGUAGCUCUUUUCCGCCACUUCUUUAUGCCCCGAGUUGAGAGAGGGGAGCCUUUAUCCGGCGGAAUCGCCUGGAUCUCGAGAGCUGGCAAGAAGGAAGCUUAUCUGGAGGGAGAGCUCCGCGGCAAGUGGGAGGAAUGGAGAGCAGACUGGUGCUGGAUUGUUGAGGAGAACCCGCAGCCGUUUACUGCCGAGCGCCAAGCCCCAGUAGUGCGCGGCAACGAUUGGAGCAACGUGGCCCCGGAAGACGAUAGGCUGAAGAUUGCCGUCACCCGAAUCCUGCGCCUCAGGCUUGCCAGGCUCACUGUAGGCGCCAUUGGCGCAGAUUUUCUUCGCCGCCGCAUCGCCCCCCUGCAGGAGAGGAGGAGACCCGGCUGGGAGUUCAGUGGUGCGGCGGACAUCAUGAGGCUGCGCCCGGGCCUCAACUUCAACUUCACUGUCCUGGAACUGGACGCGAUGCUCAAGGAACUGUUCAAACACGACCCUCAACAUCCCGAAUGGUUCAGGUUGCCGAAGGGUGUCGUUCCGCUGUGCAACAACUCCUCGCUCGACCGCAUCCGUGCAAUGAUGCCGCUGUGCGAUUCGCAUGGAAUUGUCCCAACUUGGCAAGAGCAUGCAGACGACGUCAUGCAGGAGUUCUUCGAUGGCUUGGUAGAAGUGCUGGUCCGCUUUGAUGAGCAGAAAAGCCUCACCCGCGACACCACCGAUGCGGAGAUGCAGCGCAUCACCACUAGAGCGGAAGAGGCGGCAGCAGCCACUGCCGCGGGCGAGUUUGGAUUCACAGUGGAGGAGGCAGAGGCAGCAGAGGCGGAAAGCCUUGCCGAGCGAGAUGAGCUUGCCGGCGAGGGAGAGCUUGCCGGCGAGGGAGAGCUUGUCGGCGAGGGAGAGCUUGCCGGGCCUGAAGUCGAGUCGGGCGAUCCCGCCGAGGGUGCGAGCGGCUCGUUGGAGACCAACUCCUCUUCCUCCUCGUCUUCAGACAGCCCGCCGCAAGCAGAGCCCCCAGUUCCACCAAGAAGGCGUCUCCGCAAGGUUGGGGACGUAGCGGGGCGGCAAACGAGUCAACAGCCGCCGCGCCGCGCGACACGCUCCACCGUGACAAGCACUGUUACCGCGGGAGCAUCUCACGCCGCUGCGACAACUGGAGCGGGGUCCUCCCAGACCACCGCUUCUGCUCCUACCGCUGCCCCCGCCAAGCGGUUAAGGGAACCCACUCCUCCGCCUCGUCGCGCCGAAGGUGGGCCGGACUUCGACCUCUCCGCGCUCAGCUCCGACGAGGAAGAAGAAGAGUAAGAUUCUUUGCUGUACUUGUAGUUCUUCAAUUCUUGCUGUUUUGUCUUGUGUCUGAUUUGCUUUACUCCGAACUCAUUCCUUUUCCGGACUCUGGCCCAGAGAGCGGCGAAGAGAGCCAAGGUCCCGGUGAUUGUCAUCGAGGACGAACCCACCGCGAUAGUGGGGGCGUGCCCGAGACCACCUUGCCGGACCCGACAACUGUUCCCCAAAGCAGCCCCCAGCGCAGCCCCCAGCGUAAGUGGAUGGUUUACUUCCCGCUGUUAGGCGCGCAUGGGUGCCCUUUCUUUGCUGAUAUCUGACUAUUGGUUUGUGUAGGAGCAGAGCAGCCUCACCAGGAGCGCCUAGAAGCCGCCCCCGACAUGACAUCUACUUCGACUACACCGCCAAGGGAGGAUUCCCCGGCAAGGGAGCGUUCUCCGGCAAGGGAGAAGUCUCCGGCAAGGGAAAGUUCUCCGGCAAGGGACAGCACCAACGACCCCCCAGUGGUGGAAACCACAAAUGUGGAGCCCAGUACAGGUAAUCCUCUUGCUUGAAAACUUCCCUUGGGUUCUUCUUUUUCUGAUUUUAUUUUUGGAUAUUUGCUUGACUUUUCUCCCUCUUCAGGCCGUCAGAUCCCCCUGUUAUGGAGCCGAUGGAGACCGAGGUCGCCGGCGAGGAGAACGCGAGCGGCAACACCGACGACGCCACUGCCACCGAAGAAGCAGUUGACACUGAUGAGCCCGCCGGCGAAGAGGCCGCCAAAGCUGCCACCGCAGAAGCUGGCGAGGGAUCUGGCGAUCGCACUGACGGCCCUGAGGCCGCAGGAGCGACAUGCGCUACGCCGACCGCCGAUCCCCCCGCCGCUGCCGCAGCGUCAGGCUCCGAAGAGCCCCAGCCCGGGGCCUACUUGAAGGCCGGCGAUGGCGUCUUCAUCAAACUCCCCUGGGAGUAGAGCUCCAGGGCGCCGGUCGAAGGCGAAACCUUGGAUGGAGAAGUGCUCGCCUCCGCUGGGCUGACGCUGGUUGUCGCGCCGAGCAGCAGCAGUGGCGAGUCUGAGGAGGAGCGGCUGCUGCGGAAGCUGGUGUCGCUCUACCGCGCUCGACAGUCCAAGGUGGAAUCCCGAGAAGCGCUUGUCGCGAAGGCGGGAGUGGACAUCGAGAAGCGCAUGGAGGAGCUCCGGGAUCUUAACCAGGAAAAUCUCCGGUCCUUGGCGGCGGAGCGGGAGCAACUCGCCGAGGCGCGGAAAGCCUUCCUCCUCGAGAAGGCCGAAGCUGAAGAGCAGCAGCGGCUUGCCGCCGAGGAGCUGUUUGCGCGGGAGGGCGAGUUGGCGCAGCGAAAGGUCAAUCUUGACAGCCAUGAGGAGGAGCUUGCUGCGCGCGAGCAAACAUUCGGCGGGGCUCUCAAGGAAGCAGAGGAUGCUUCCGCAGCUGCCGAGGCCGCCAAGAAGAAGCUGGAGACGAAGGUGGCGCAGCUGGAGGCCGAUCUCAAGGCGAGCGGCGAAGAGCUUGCCGCGCUCAAGCGUGAGCGCGAGAAGGACGCCUACACUCUUGGCGAGCUGCAAGGUAGUCUCGCCGAGAAGGGCAAGGAGCUUAGCGCCGCCAAGGACUCCAACGCAGAUCUUGAGUUGAAGCUGACUACUUUGACCAAGACGCUGGACAGCGCCAGGGAGCAGGAGGUGGCCUUGAAGAAGCAGAUCAAGGCCGACGAGGCACUGCUGGCGAGUGCUGCCGCCACCCAGAACACUUUUAGGGAGAAUGUAGAGCACUGGACGGAGGGUCUUGUGGAUGUUGCCGCAGCCAUCGACAGGGAGCUGGCGCAGCUGGGGAUGGAGGAUUUCGGGUAUCCCUCCGAUGAGAACCUCCAACCCAGCGCCAAGCUCAGCUUGUUCUUCAAAGGCGUGGCGACAGCCCUCCAGCGACUCCAGGAGAAGAUCCCAAAGUAGCUGGCCGACGAGUCGCGCAUGAUCUGCGCGGGAGUUCUUCAAAAGGUGUUGAUGAAGGUGGCCUUCCGCAACCCAGGCCUCAACCUCACCAAUGUCCUCAAGACCUUGUCGCCGGAGGCUGAUCUGGAAGCGCUCAAGACCCUUGUUGCACCCAUUGUGGACAAGGCGAGCGAGAUUAAGAGGGUUGAGGGCGAUCACGUAGAUUAGGCCGCCCGUUUUCUCCUUUUCUUGUCGCUGCUGGUCAUGUUAUGAAAACAAUCUGUUAGAGCUGCGACAAGCUAUCUUGUAAUAUAACUCUAUGUUGGGUAUCGAUUGCUAUGUUAUUUCCUCUACUUGAUUCCUUCCUUUGCAUGUUUUUGCCCUACGCUUUUAGGGAACUUGCCGGUGCAGGCGCCUUAGCCGCGAGCGCUGAGUGCGGGACGUCAGCAGCCUGCUGGCGGUGCCGCUACCGACAAGAAACCUUGUCGCAACUAGUCGCAGCUCACUUAAGUUGUUGAGCGGACUCGAAACAAAGUAAGGGCGCAACUAGCUACGAGUUGGUUCCUCCGCGCACAGGUUUUCCAUACAAAGCACGGUCGUUCGAGGAAGAUAACUUAAAAUUUAAAACUGAUUGCUCAAACUUUGGCAACUUAGCUUUUCUGUUGUUUGCUUCCCGGUAAGGCGAAACUUUCUUGAACGACGCCUGGUCCACACCAUUAUCUUCUCCUUUCCCCCCGGCAAACUUGUGGGCGAGGGAACCUUCCUUUCUUUGAGAAAAAGAAAGAAGAGAAAAUAAAGAUAUGGAGCCUUACGGCUCGUUAUUUCUUACCGGGGGUAGGUGCUGCACAAAGUGUCAGAUAACACAUGCAAAAAAUAGAAAGCAUGAAAUUGACAAGAUGUGCGGAGCACAUCAGCUUUACUUAUGCACGGGGUCUGCGCCCGGCUUUGUACAAAGGGUUACAUGCAACAGCGGCAAGGCUUGUACAAAAGGUGGUUGCCGGAACGGGUUCCGGCAACCGCACCUUACGGGUAAAACUUACGAAGAUGCUCAAUGUUCCAGGAGUUGCUCACCGGAAUGCCAUCUUCGGUCUCAAGGCGGACAGCGCCAGGCCUAGUGACUCGUUUCACCCGGUAAGGGCCUUCCCACUUCGGCGUCAACUUGUUGGAAUUCUUGGCGGACUGAACGCGCCGAAGAACAAGGUCGCCUUCCUCGAGACUUCUGGCAUUAACUUUGUGGCUAUGGUAGCGGCCCAAAGCUUGCUGGUAUCGAGCAGCUCGUACAGCAGCCUGAAGACGGUCUUCCUCAAGGAGGAGCGCGUCAUCUUGUCGCAGCUGCUCUUGCUCAAGCUCAUCAUAAGCGAGCUCUCAAGGCGACCCGUAUACGAGUUCCGUGGGGAGAACUGCCUCUGCUCCAUAGACUAGAGCGAAAGGUGUCUGGCCAGUGGCUCAAUUUGGCGUCGUCCUAAUCGACCAAAGAACCACCGGCAGCUCCUCAAUCCAGUUCUUUCCGCACUUGCGCAGCCUAUCGAAAGUCCUGGUCUUGAGCCCGCGCGGCACUUCAGCAUUUGCCCUCUCCGCUUGACCGUUGCUUCUCGGAAGAGCAAUAGAAGCGAAGCAGACCUUGGCGCCAAGAUCUUGGACGUACUGCAUGAAGGUGCGGCUCGUGAAUUGCGUGCCGUUGUCAGUGAUGAUCCUGUUAGGGAUCCCGAAGCGGCAAACAAUCGACCUGAAGAACUUGACUGCUGACUGUGCUGUCACCUUCCUCACUGGUUCCACUUCCGGCCACUUUGUGAACUUGUCGAUUGCAACGUACAAGUACUCAAAGCCCCCGACAGCUCGGGGAAAGGGGCCGAGGAUGUCGAGCCCCCAGACCGAAAAUGGCCAGGAUAAAGGGAUCGUCUGGAGAGCUUGAGCUGGCUGGUGUAUCUGCUUGGAAUGGAACUGGCACGCUUCACACUUGGUUACUUGUGCAGUUGCAUCCUGCAGGGCCGUCGGCCAAAAGAAACCUUGCCGGAAUGCCUUGCCGGCAAGUGCUCUUGCGCCAAUGUGGUGACCACAUAUACCUCCAUGUAUCUCUGCCAACAGCUUUUGUCCGCCUUCCCGGUGAAUACACUUCAAUUUCACACCAUUUUGUCUUCUUCUGCACAGUGUGUUAUCAACAAACUGGUACAUACUUGACUGCCGGGCUACUCUUUCCGCUUCUUCUUGCUCUUCGGGAAGUUCUCCUGUCUGAAGGAAACGGACAAUCUGUUGUGCCCAUGCUGGAGCUUGCGGCUCGACAACAAGGACUAAAGGCACAUCUGCUGCUGCGGGAACAUCCGGUUCUACGGUGAGAACCUGCGGCUCUGCCGGAGCUUGGCGUUCCCCGCAAGCUUGCCGGAGCAAAACUUGUCGGGAGCGUCUGCUUCGACGGAACAAACCCUAGGGCUUGCCGGAGCAGACUGCUCGUCAGCACUCUUGGUGUUAAUCUUGGGUACCUUCUUGGCGGCGGCUUCGGGGAGCUCUACCGGAAAAUAGUCACCAGAAAUCAACUUCCUCUUCUUGCUCCGUCUAGUUGAUGGCGUUACAGAUGGUUGAGUCAGUUUGAGCACAAAGAUCCCUGGUUCCACAGGUAAUUUAAGUGUGGCGCACUUUGACAGGCCAUUGGCAAUGUCGUUCUGAGCUCUUGGAACAAGUUCCAUCUGUAGGCCGUCAAAGUGCUCUUCUAACUUUCUCACUUCAUCAACGUAGGCUUCCAUCAACGGACUCUGAUAAUUCUUGUUCACUUGGUGGACGACAAGCUGUGAGUCACCCCUGACAAUGAGCUUCUUGAUCCCAAGGUCUGCUGCGAUCCUGAGACCGGCAAGCAAACCUUCAUACUCUGCGGUAUUGUUUGUUGCUUACUCCUUGGGAAAGUGCAUCUAGACUACGUAUUUGAGGUGCUCUCCGAUGGGCGCAACAAGUAGUACGCCUGCACCGGCGCCUUGCAGCGAGAAGGCACCAUCAAAGUACAUCCGCCACUCUUUGCUUGCUUCCUUGACGGGGAUGCUUGUUUCUGGAAUUUCUUCAUCUGGUGUUGGCGUCCAUUCUGCUAUGAAUUCUGCCAAUGCUCUGCUUUGGAUAGUUGAAGUGCUCUCAAACUUGAGGCCAAAGCUGGACAGUUCCAGUGCCCACUCGACAAUCCUGCCUGUUGCUUCUGGAUUCUGCAGUAUCCUCUUCAGCGGAAAGCGAGUGACAACUGUGAUCUCAUGUGCUUGGAAGUAAUGGCGCAGCUUUCUCGAGGCCAUGAGAAGGCCGAAAAGCAAUUUCUGCACACCAGAGUACCUCGACCUAGCCCCCUGCAGAAGGGAACUGACAAAGUAAACUGGGCGCUGCACCAUUCUCUUCUGCACCUCCUCACGCGCCUGCGCAGAUCCAUCUUUGUUGGGACCAGAGCUUGUCGGUGAAGUCCCCUGCUUGUCGCUGGAUGCAUCUGCCGUGGUUGCUAGCUCAUCAUCCGCCUCCCUCUCCGCUACUAACGCAGCACUAACCACUUGAUUGGUUGCUGCUAUAUACAGCAGCAACUUCUCUUGUGGCUUAGGUGCGACAAGUGUUGGAGUGGAGGACAGGUAUCUCUUCAAGUCUUGCAGUGCAACCUCCGCUUCCGGAGUCCAUUUCAUUGGACCAGCCUUUUCCAAUAUUUUGAAAAAUGGCAGGGCGCGCUCAGCAGAUCUAGAGAUAAACCUGCCGAGAGCAGCCACGCAACCGGCAAGUCUUCGUACAUCCUUGACGCGCUUUGGUGCUUCAAUCUGCUCAAUGGCCUUGAUCUUGUCGGGAUUGGCUUCAAUUCCCCGCUGAGACACAAAGAACCCGAGAAGCUUGCCGGAGGGGACUCCAAACACACACUUCUCGGGGUUAAGCUUGAGGUUGAUCUUGCGCAGAUUUGCAAAGGUUUCGUCUAAAUCUUGAAUCAGAGUUGCCUUGUCCUUGCUCUUGACAACUAUGUCAUCCAUGUAGGCUUCCACAUUUCUGUGUAUUUGUGGCUCAAAAGUGUCAUGGACUACCCUUGCAAAUGUUGAACCAGCAUUCUUUAAACCGAAAGGCAUCCAUAUGAAACAGUAUGUGCCACAUGGAGUGAUGAAUGCGGUCUUCUCCUCAUCCUCUUCUGCCAUAAAGAUCUGAUGGUAUCCUGAGUAUGCGUCAAGAAAUGAAAGCAAGUCGCAUACGGCCGUGGAGUCAACAAUCUGGUCAAUGCGCGGCAAGGGAAAUGGGUCUUUGGGACAAGCUUUAUUGACAUUGGUAAAGUCGAUACAAAGCCUCCAUUUCCCGUUUGCCUUGCGCACGACUACAGGAUUGGCCAACCACGUAGGAUGGAGCACUCCUCUGACAAGGCCUGCUGCUUUCAAUUUCUUGAUUUCUUCUGCGAUGAAUUCUUGGCGCUCCACUGCUUGUUUCCUGACUUUCUGCUUGACGGGCCGCGCAUGAGGACAGACAGCAAGAUGGUGCUCGAUUACUUUCCUGGGAACACCGGGGAUGUCAGACGGUUGCCACGCGAACACGUCGACGUUCGCCCGCAGGAAAGCAACAAGCGCGCUUUCCUAUUUAGGGUCGAGAGUGGCGCUGAUGGUGAAGGUACCACCAGUGCCGUCCUCCUUGGCGGACACCUUCUUGGUCUCUGGCGGAGCAGCCAUUGUCUUCUUACACUUGCCGGUGGAGCUCGAUGGUGCGUCCUCGAUGGUAGCGCAGCACUCCGAAGAGGUGCGCUUGCCGGAGUGGGCAUCAGAACUCUUGCCGGACUUGGUCUUCUUCUUCCCCCCGGGAGCUUCAACGGCAAGUGACUUGCGAUCUGUUGCGGCUACUGCUUCCCGGUAGAUCUUGUCGGCGCAGAUAAGAGCGUCCUUCUUGUCGCUAGGGACAGAGAUGACACUUAUCGGGCCUGGCAUCUUCAACAUGUUGUACGCAUAGUGAGAGGCUGCCAUGAAUUUGGCGAGUGCUGGACGGCCGAGUAUCCCAUUGUAAGGCAAUGGAAAGUCAGCAACGUCAAAAGUGACCCUCUCAGUCCUGAAGUUUAACUCGCUGUCAAAUGUCACCGGCAACGUGAUCUUUCCCUUCGGCUUGCUCCUUCCCGGAUUGAUUCCUUGGAAUGUGCCGGUCUCUUCGAGCUCGCUGUCAGGGAUCUGGAGUUUCUGGAGUACCGCGGAGGAGAUCAGGUUCAAGCCGGCCCCGCUGUCAACUAGCAUCUUAGUGACCUUGAGGUUGCGGAUAGUUGGUGAAACCAACAUCGGCAAGCACCCGACCGCAGUUAUGCGAUCAGGAUGGUCCUCAAUAUCAAAGAUGAUAGGCGUGCUGGACCAUUUCAGAGGCUUGCAUGACUCGACGGGUGGUUCUGCCGCAUUGACUUCCCGCACCCACUGCUUGAGCUGGCGGUGUGAAGUAUGCAGAGAAGCACCGCCGUCAACGCACAGGACCUCUGUGGCUUUCUGGAACUCCUGCUCAUCGGUCUCGUCGUCAUCCAUGUCUUCAUCGUCGUCGUCAUCUUCAUCCUUGUCGCGGCCGCAGGGAGGUCUGUCUCCUUGCCGCUGCUUGGCCUUGCCGCAGCGUCCUCCUCGGCCGGGAUGUUUCUUGCCGGAUCCUCCAGUACCUUCUUGGGCCUUUUCCUUGUCGCGUCGCUCGUAUUCAGCCUUUUUCUGCUCAACAAGCUGCUCGACCUUCUUGCAGCUCUGGAGGUCAUGGCCCUUGGUGCGGUGGAUCUUACAGUACUGCUUGUUGGUGCCGUCCUGCUUGUCGGCGACCACCACAGCCUGGCUGUUGGUAGCUUCGGCUUUCUUGGCGUCACCUCCGUUGCCGGACUGCUCAACGACUAGCACAUCUUUGCCUUUCUUCUUCCUGUCGUUCCGCCGCCAGUUUUUCUUUGCCGGGGCAGCAUCCUCGCUAUCAGAUCCUCCUGCUUCUGUAUUCUCUCCGGGGAGUUUCCUCCCUUCCUCGGCAUGUGCACACUUAUCGGCCAGGGCAUAUAGCUCACUGACAUCUUUGAUCUUGCACAUCGCCAUCUCUUCCCGCAUCUUGCGGUUUCGCACGUUUUGAUGGAACGCGCUGAUGACCGCGGCAGGGUGGACAUCUGGGAUGUUGUGUUGUACACGGCUGAAUCUCUGAAUGUAUUUGCGCAGGGGCUCUCCUUCCUUCUGGGCGAGCAGAUGAAGGUCGCUCUCUUGGCCAUGAGGCUUGUGGCCGCCUGUAAAGGCGCCGACAAACUGACGGCAUAGGUCUGCCCAGGAGGAUAUGGAGUUGUCCGGCAAGUGCAUGAGCCAGGAUCUGACAUUGGGUUUGAGCACCAGCGGGAAGUAGUUGGCAAGGAUCUUGUCGUCCCGCCCCCCGGCAGCUUGCACCGCGAUGGUGUAGAUGCUGAGGAACUCCGACGGAUGCGACUUGCCAUCAUACUUCUCUGGUACGUCUGGCUUGAAAUUCUUCGUGUUGGGCCACUGGACUUGCCACAGCUCACGAGUGAACGCAGGGCAACCUACCGCGUACGGCAAGUCGCCUGGUUCCCCUGGCGCAUGCAUGUCGACAGAGGGCCCGGUGCGCUGGUCCGAUUGACGCCGCGCUUCUCUCCGGCGCUCGAUGCGAGUACGAGCGUCUUCUUGCUGUCGUUCGUGAAGAACUUGGUGCUGAUCACGACGAGCUCGUGGAUCUGAUGACGCGGUGGAGUCGUUGUCGAGGUAGAUCCGGCGAGUCGGCGAUCUUGGCCUUCAGGGUGGAGAGUGCACGAUGGUUGCACCCCCACCAGUUUUGUCGCCAUCGGCUCGUGCCUGGCAGUCUUGCCGCGGCUGCGAUGUACUCGGCUGCCGUGGAGUGUCGCCGUUGGCGAAGCCGAUGAGACUCUGAAUGGUGGCCCUCCAUUCGUCGAUCUUGUCUGCCGUUGGAGAGUAAUCCAAGAGCAGUUGAGCUCUCGCCAAAGCUUCUGCUGGAGUGGUGGGUGGUAGUGGCGAACGGUGCGAGGAGCGGGAUAUGCUCGGACUUCUAACUAUGUUAGAAGGAGCAGUAUCCCGUCCAGGCGACCGUGUCUUGCUCGUGCCAGCAUGUUGGCAUGCAUGCUGGUCUUGAGCAUCUCGAGAUCCACCAGCUCGAUCUGGGUCCAACGAAUGUAUGGCACCGCGAGUACCAUGACGCUGUCGGUCCCGCGCCUCCUGAGACGGGCACGGUGCAUGUACGGACGCCGAGGUCUGCGCAGCCUUGUCCUUGGACCUGGCAGCACCGUGAGCUCCCUCGUCGACGACCGUUCUUCCGCCGGCGUCUACCCCACCAUCCUUUGCUCCGGUGGUGAUGGGAUCGACGUGGACGGAAUAGCUGCCUCCGAAGCCUUCUUCUUCGGCGGCAUGUCGAUGAAGAAGAUGAAGAUCUAGCUCAUGUGAACGCCAAUCAGGUUCACACAACCUCGACGUCCCCUACCUGGCGCGCCAAAGAUGUCGGGGAAGCUGAUCCACGGACACCUAUGGGACCGGCGGACUGAGCCCCUUUCGGUUCGGCGGGGGGCGGAGGUCGCGCAAAGAGCGGAUCGAGGCGAAGCACACGAGCAGUUUACCCAGCUUCAGAGCUCUCCGGAGAGAUAAUACUACUACUGCUGCAUGUCUGAGUGUAUUGAGUUCUUGCUCGGGAGCGCAAAGUGCUACAGUACACACUAGCUGCUAACGAGACCGAGCAUGAGUGUUUUUCUGGCUUCGAACCCCCCCUACGUUGCGCAUGGGCCUCCUUUUAUAUGCUCAAGGGGUCACCGACAGGUGGCAACGCAGGCAAGGGUAAAAAUGGAAAAAUGUGUUGCGGUUGGUACAACUACCUGUACAAUGUAUCAUACCUAACCCUGACGGCAGGGGACAAAGGCAUUAAAUGCCCGUCUGCAUCGCCCAAACAGUGCAAAAAGGGACUGUCAGGGGCGCCACCGCUUGCCACUAUGGCAAUCUUGUCAG
RNAcentral lists this long non-coding RNA (12634 nucleotides) under Triticum aestivum (bread wheat). Its description in RNAcentral is "long non-coding RNA (TAES_LNC016880)". The record is from RNAcentral. Lineage: Eukaryota; Viridiplantae; Streptophyta; Magnoliopsida; Poales; Poaceae.